AAAUUCACAAGAUUUCUUUCCUCUGAAGAUAAAAGCUUUGAAGGGAGAAAAUUGAGGUUUUGAGAGGUAAGAAAACUUAGUGAAAUGAUGUAAGCAAGAAUGAUGGUGGGAAGGUUCAGAAAGAGAGGUCCGAGCAUCACAUGUCAUCACAGCGAGAGUAGGAGGUAGCAGAACAUUUGCUGCCUACAGAAGAACUUUAGCCCCGUAUCAUCAGCAGAGAGGUUCCAGGUCCUUAAAAUAAUAUCAUUCACAGAGAUACAGGCAGGAUGACAAAAAUCAAGGCCGACUGAUUUCAAGGACUUUUCUCUCAGUGCCGUAAAUACAUGGUCAGUAUGGGCAAAGUCUAGGAUCAAUUUCACAUUUCAUACCCCCCCAUCCUUAUGGGCAUUUAUUAUGAUUUAUUUUUAGUCUGGUAGAUAUUAGUUACAUAG
Symphalangus syndactylus (siamang) is the source of this 431-nucleotide long non-coding RNA. RefSeq lists it as uncharacterized. The record is from RefSeq and is a predicted model, not a curated record. Lineage: Eukaryota; Metazoa; Chordata; Mammalia; Primates; Hylobatidae.